CCCACUCACAAUCUUGAUUUUUUUUUUUUGCAAGUUUAAAGAAAAAACUGCUUUCCAGCAACUUCUUAUCUCAACUCUUGACUGUCUCAAUCGCACGGAAAUAUACACGUGUGUAUCAAUAGGCCAAUCUGGAGGUGGAAGAACGUGGAGAAUAAUAAGGAGUAGGACAAAGUUUCCAAAUGCAAAUGUAUAGAAGAUAAAGAAAGUAUAAAAGUGGUUAGGUUUAUUUGAAAAUAGUCUAGGAUUCGUAAUGCAAAAUUAUCCUUUAUAUUUUAGGCGUGAGAUUUUAGAAAUUGUUGGAGAAAUCCAAUAAAUAUACUCAUAUUUUUUUAUCCAAGUGCAAAGAAACUCCUCAAUUCGAACUAUUGGAGAUGCUCAACCCACCUGAAAGGGGCAAACCCGAGAUU
This 407-nucleotide long non-coding RNA is filed under the name Sorghum bicolor (sorghum). Its description in RNAcentral is "long non-coding RNA (SBIC_LNC005664)". The record is from RNAcentral. Lineage: Eukaryota; Viridiplantae; Streptophyta; Magnoliopsida; Poales; Poaceae.